RNAcentral lists this ribosomal RNA (1095 nucleotides) under Ureibacillus sp. RNAcentral describes it as "bacterial SSU rRNA". It matches the Rfam family "Bacterial small subunit ribosomal RNA", at positions 57 to 1122 of the family's 1533-position model. Lineage: Bacteria; Bacillati; Bacillota; Bacilli; Caryophanales; Caryophanaceae. The record is from RNAcentral.
GCAGUCGAGCGGACCAAUUAGAAAGCUUGCUUUUUAAUUGGUUAGCGGCGGACGGGUGAGUAACACGUGGGUAACCUGCCCUAUAGACCGGGAUAACUCGCGGAAACGCGUGCUAAUACCGGAUAACACACCGAAGCGCAUGCUUCGGGGUUGAAAGAUGGUUCUGCUAUCACUAUAGGAUGGGCCCGCGGCGCAUUAGCUAGUUGGUGGGGUAACGGCCUACCAAGGCGACGAUGCGUAGCCGACCUGAGAGGGUGAUCGGCCACACUGGGACUGAGACACGGCCCAGACUCCUACGGGAGGCAGCAGUAGGGAAUCUUCCACAAUGGGCGAAAGCCUGAUGGAGCAACGCCGCGUGAGCGAAGAAGGUCUUCGGAUCGUAAAGCUCUGUUGUAAGGGAAGAACAAGCGCAGCAGUCACUGGCUGCGCCCUGACGGUACCUUACUAGAAAGCCACGGCUAACUACGUGCCAGCAGCCGCGGUAAUACGUAGGUGGCAAGCGUUGUCCGGAAUUAUUGGGCGUAAAGCGCGCGCAGGCGGUCUCUUAAGUCUGAUGUGAAAGCCCCCGGCUCAACCGGGGAGGGUCAUUGGAAACUGGGAGACUUGAGUGCAGGAGAGGGAAGUGGAAUUCCAUGUGUAGCGGUGAAAUGCGUAGAGAUAUGGAGGAACACCAGUGGCGAAGGCGGCUUCCUGGCCUGUAACUGACGCUGAGGCGCGAAAGCGUGGGGAGCAAACAGGAUUAGAUACCCUGGUAGUCCACGCCGUAAACGAUGAGUGCUAGGUGUUAAGGGGGUUUCCGCCCCUUAGUGCUGCAGCUAACGCAUUAAGCACUCCGCCUGGGGGAGUACGGUCGCAAGACUGAAACUCAAAGGAAUUGACGGGGGCCCGCACAAGCGGUGGAGCAUGUGGGUUUAAUUCGAAGCAACGCGAAGAACCUUACCAGGUCUUGACAUCCCGCUGACCGCCAUGGAGACAUGGCUUUCCCUUCGGGGACAGCGGUGACAGGUGGGUGCAUGGUUGUCGUCAGCUCGUGUCGUGAGAAUGUUUGGGGUUAAGUCCCGCAACGAGCGCAACCCUUUGUCCUUAGUUGCCAUC